Small nuclear RNA from Protopterus annectens (West African lungfish), 166 nucleotides. RefSeq annotates it as U1 spliceosomal RNA. NCBI's taxonomy places the organism in Eukaryota, Metazoa, Chordata, Ceratodontiformes, Protopteridae. The transcript has a single exon. The record is from RefSeq and is a predicted model, not a curated record.
AUAAAAACUGGCAGGGAAUACCACAGUCAAGAAGGUGGAUUCACCAGGGUGAGGGUCUUCUAUUGCAGUUCAGUUGGGUGGACUCCUGUGAUUUUUUUCCCAAAUGUGGGAAACCCAGCUGCAUAAUUUGUGUUGGUGGGGACUGCAUUCACACUGUUUUUCCUAU